RNAcentral lists this ribosomal RNA (253 nucleotides) under uncultured bacterium. RNAcentral's name for it is "partial 16S ribosomal RNA". It matches the Rfam family "Bacterial small subunit ribosomal RNA", at positions 524 to 776 of the family's 1533-position model. The record is from RNAcentral.
UACGAAGGGGGCUAGCGUUGUUCGGAAUUACUGGGCGUAAAGCGCACGUAGGCGGAUAUUUAAGUCAGGGGUGAAAUCCCGGGGCUCAACCCCGGAACUGCCUUUGAUACUGGGUAUCUCGAGUCCGAGAGAGGUGAGUGGAAUUCCGAGUGUAGAGGUGAAAUUCGUAGAUAUCCGGAGGAACACCGGUGGCGAAGGCGGCUUCCUGGACCGACUCUGACGCUGAGGCGCGAAAGCUAGGGGAGCAAACGGG